GGCAGUUUCCUGAUCUUCUGGAUAUGCUGCCACGCUGUCCCAGGGCUGGUGGUGUCCCCUGACUUGUUCCUCUCCUGACUUUCUCAGCCUGGAGACUGAAAGCUCUCUUUGGCUGUUGGCCCUCCCAGGCAGAGUCCACUGGCUGUUAGGGUGAAAUGGGGCUGAUGCUUCCUGGAAUCCACCAGAAGUAUGCAAAUUGCACCAUCUCUUUCAGCUGCCUGCGCCUGCAUUCCAUCGAGGAUUCCGGGUGGAACUAAUCAAAAGAUACAUCUUUCUAAGAAGAGGAGAGGACACAGAGAGACACACAGAGAAGGUGAUGACAAUGAUGAGAAGACGGAGGCGGAGAUUGGAGUGAUGAUGCAUCUACAAGCCAGGGAACAUCAAGGACUGCCAGCAACCACCAGAAGCCAGGAGAGAGGCAUGAGACAGUUCUUCCUCCUAUCCUUCAGAAGAAAUCAACUCUACUGACACCAUGAUUUUGGAUUUUGGCCUCCUAAAAUGAGGCUGAGUGACUUGGGCAAUGAUUCAGCAAUACCAACUGUGAACUCUCAAUGACUUGGGCUAAUGAGAAGAAUGACAUGGAUAAUCUAAAAAUAAUGGACAACUGGAAAAAACAUCAGCCUGCUUGUGGAGCACACCAGGUCAUGAUUUCUGCAGUGGGGGAGGAGCUGAUUUGCUUCAUUCAUUCUAGAACCUCUAUUCUAGCUGAUGUUAAAUCUGGUUGUUUUUGAGAGCACUCAUAGCCAUCAUGCCCAUCUCUGUAUCACAGGGGUUUGGGAAAAGAAACUCUUCUGGCCAAGGAUGGAAGAAUAAAAACAUAACUGAGUUCCAGAUAUGCUAAUGUUUUCCACUAUUGCAUCUCUAAGAUAUCAGUAGGACCUGGAAAGGUGGCAAUGACCUCAUGGCUCCCAGGUGCUGGGGUUGCUGCAAUGGCUGGAGCUGAGAAAAACUUGAAGGUUUUAGAGAAGCUCUGCUUCCAAAUGAAGGGUGCAGAGUAAUUAAUGCCCCAAGCUACAUGGAGUGGCCAAUUGAAGAAGCUAUAAAAGUUGGAGCAGUGCAGGAAGCAACAUGCCUGGGAAAGGGGAUUUUUUUGCACUUUUUAUUGCAAUAAUGCAGGAACAUUCUAUGAAUAGAAUCCAGGGGAGCCAUCAAGUCCAUGUUCGGGUGACUGUAAGGGGAGGGAUUUUGAUCCUCUUCCGAGACAGCUGUCUUCAGGCUCAGGCACAGAUCACAUUAUUUUAUUAGAGCCUUCAGUAGUUAAGAGAAAGUUCUUGGUUGAAUUGGGAAAGGGACCUAAAAAUAACUGUAAAAUUUUGAGCUAGCUCUGCCCCUUUCUGUACUAGAUACAAUCCUGGAUGUAGAGAAUCAGAGACUUGAGGUUAAGACCUAGCUCUGGCACCAACUUGGACAAGUCACAUCACCUAUCUCCACCUAUCUCCUUCACUGUGAAAUGAGAGGAUUGGAAUAAAUGAUAUCUAAAUCUCCCCUGGCCUCCAUUGUUUCUGCUUUGUGGAUGCCGUUUUAUGGAUUGAGAAAUCAAAGUCUAUUGAUGAAAAUGAUUGCAAUGUGCAGAUUCACUUGGAACACAGAAAGACUCAGAGAGCUGGUCAGUACCAAAGGAGGUUGGAGUGCUUUGCCUUGAAUGCAAGAAAUAACGAUGUGCAAUGUCAUGGAGAAUUUUAAAACAAUAAUAGAUACAAGAAAAAGUCGGUCUGCUUUUUAUUAUCACCAUGCACUGACAGUUCUAAGCAAUGUCAGUGAUAAAAUAUUCCUCACCUUGAUGGACAACUCUCCCCAUCCUCCAUCCUUGGUAUACCACUGUUUAUCUGUACAAUUCUCUUUUUAUUCAAUGCUCUUUCAAUUCCUCUCACUACACAGGAAGAAAAUCUCUUUAAGGAGCUCUUUUUUUUUUUUUAACAUUUUUCUUUCUCUCUCUUUCUUUCUUUUUCUUUCUUUCUUUUUUUUUAACCACUUCUUAGCAUUGAUUUAUCCCUAGUAAAGAAGAAUGAUGAAUUACUUUGAGUUACUUCUUUAGUAAGAAAGGUAUGCUAUAGGAGAGAACUGGAAAGGGACCAAGGAAGCAGGGACAAUAAACAUGGAGAGACCAGAAUAUGGAAUGAGGUGUGGAAUGGGUACAGAAGGCUGGGUGGCUUGUGGGUCAAGUCCUGAACACAUGGCUUGUGGACAGGGUGUGGACAGCUCCCUGAAGGCCCAGGUUAGGUUGGGCAUGUGGUGCAUGAAAACAGACCCUGCCUGCCUCUCAGCUCAGAUUUCUCAGAUUUCCAGCACCCCGGCCCUUUCCUGGGGCUUCCCCUUGCCUCCCCUCAGGUGGAUUUCCUAAGAGUGAACCCUCUGUACUACACCUGCAGUCACACCACUCGCCAUCCUUCUCUGAGUUGGAUUUCCUCUCCACCCUGCCCUGGUGUCUAGAAUAUGAAAAGGCUUUGCCACCCUGGGGACUUGCAUAUCCUGCAUUGGUGCCUCCCUUUUGCAGGCCUGGCCCCCUUGGUGUUCAACCUUCUGCGAGCUAGCACCUGCUGCAGGGUGCAUUUGCGUGCUCCAAGGAGCCAUUCCUGUGACAAAAUAAUCUAUGCACAUUCUUUGGGGGCUGAAUGGGCUGCUCUGGAGAACAACAGAGGGGACCCCCAGAAAAAUAUGAGUGUGGUGGAGGAAGAGGCUGAAGGCAGGGUGUUAACCCUAAAGAUAGAGAUCUUUGUCCUCUCAAAUUAAAUAAGAAGUUUUGGGUUUUUGUUUGUUUGUUUGCAAAGUGAGAACCCAGUUAGUAGCAAUUAAAUUGACAACCCAAUUCAAACCAGUCCAAACUGAAGCCAUGAGGGCCAAGUUCUAGUUUCUUACAGAUUUACAAUUUGCUAAAUUUUCUCUUUGACACACACAUCAGACACAUAUUCCCUCUGGCACAUUCAGUUUCUAAUUGUUAUCCUAAGAUGAUUUAUUUAUUCUUACAGGAAGAGAAAAGAAAGGGGCAGCUUUUACCGAAGUUUGUCUUAUUUCUUUCACUCUUUCUUUUCUGAUUAUAAAAGCCACACAUGUUUACCAUAGAAAGCUUAGCACAUGAAUAUUCUAAACAGAGAUAAAUACUUCCUAUCAACCCCAUCAUUCAGAGAUGACCACUCUCCAUUUGCAGCUGUGGUUGACAUGGAAUCGUCUGGGGAGUUUUAUUGGCAAGAACUUGCUCUAUUCAGCUGAGCUUUUCCUUAAGAAGACCCCUGAGGUACCAGCCCUCUCUGAGCCUAGUGGAGGGGGACUUUCUGUUCAUGCUGAGGCCCCUUCCCAGCCUGACAGAAGCUUCUAGCUCUUCCUUAGUCAGUUCCCUGCAGGUCUGGGAACCUUGUGCUAGUUCUGUUCUCUGGCCUCUGUGCUGUCACCUGUGAAGCUGUGUCCUUUGAUUUCCUCUUGCAAUCCUCUUGUUGCUCACAGCUGGCAACCUUCAUAGUCAUUCACACUCACACACAGCAUUUCUUCAUUUAUUCACAUUAAGUCAUUUCACACUCAUUUUAAUAGUUAUUAUUCACAGUACUGUUAGUUUAUAGCACCGCACAACAUUAUAAUGUUGUAGUGAACAGUCGUCAUUUCUUUGUGCUGCUCAGCCAGCUACGCACCAUUCUGGGUUUGGGACCUCCCCACCCACCUGCCUGCUGGGUGUGCAGGCUGCUCUUCUUUCACGAUGGAAACCAAAGGGGGGAGUUCCUCUCUCCCAGCCCAAAGGCCAUGCAGGAGCCAGCCUGUGAUCUUGGUUCAGCCAAACAGGCAGUACCAUCUCACACUUUGACUCUUAAGAGAACUUUGCUAAGAAUCUGGAACAGGUCAGACUUUCCUUAUGGUGGCGGCAGAGCCUUUGAGAUUUGGCAGUCAGCCCUGUUGGUUUUGAGCACCCCUAGGCUGUGGUGGCCUAGGGCAGCACAGACACUGCCCUACCCAUAUGGGUCCUGAGGCCCUGGCUAGUCCCCACUGGCCAUCCUGGGUUUCCAUCGUGUUUCUGGGCCUUGUUCUCCAGCUUUCUGUUGAUUCUGUGAGUUAUCUGAUAUUCUUCAAAAAUAUUCCUUUUCAUUUAAUGCUAGCCAGAACUGCUUAAAGAACCCUAUACUGUUUGACUUUUGUCUUAAAGUUUGAAACGUUACUUAGUAAGUCACAACAUACUAAUUUGAAUUUCAUUUGUAACAUAACUUCUCUUUCCCUAGGCCACAUAAGUCAGGGAGAUGGAGAGAGAAACAGAGGGGACAAAAAUAUAGUCACAACAGUAUUUACCUGGCUUCAUUUCACCCUUAGCUGCAAUUGUCCGGAACUCAGGUCCUGCCUCCUAAGAUCCUCCACAAUAGCAUUUCUGCGCUUCUCACUGCCUUGUAGCCCUGUAGCCUUCUGCUUGUCUAUCUCAGAGACUGCUGGUAGUGCUGCUUUUGUAAGGGUUUUCUUCUUCCAUGGCCCAUUUGUCUGUGGGCUAUCUGGCUUGCUUGAGUCAUAUCCACUAAUCAACUAUUAAGGCUGAUUCUUCUCUUUGGAAGACCCAGAGAUUUCAGCUAUGAUUCUGGGCUACACUUUGAGCCUCAGAAAUGACCAUGUGUUUAGUGGUGACCUCACGGGCAAAUGCCGCAAUACUUUUCUGGUGCCUGUCUGCCUAAGUCUUUUCUUCUCUGUCACUCCAGUUCUGCUUGUCCCCAGGGAUAUGAUUUUCAAGUCUCAUGAUCUUAUGUCAAGUCACAUCCAAUAUGAUCUGACGGGUUGGGGAGCAGGGCAGGGUCGGAUGAUCUGGAAUGACUGCCUCCUGUGCUGGAAUAAGCGAUAAGCAGACAGGCCCCUCCGCAAGUGCUGGGAGGAACGCCAGUGCCGCAGGUAGAACACAGCAUGAAAGGGGUAUGUGGAGGACGACAGGCCCGGAGAAAUCCUGUCUCAGGCCAGAGUGGAAGGCCAGAAUGUGGACUUUUCCAAGCAAGCAGGUUUUGCAACAUCUCUAGGAACCUAGGAGCCAGCAGUGAACAGGAGUCUAGGUAGGCAGAUGGGAAGCAGCGUCCUAGACACUCAGCUAGGGUUUGGGACCAAGAAUGCAGAAAUGAAUAGCUCCGGGUUGGGGGUGGGAGGUGUGGCACAGAACUAGGACACAUCUGUAGAAAAGUAUUUUUCUCGAACCAUAUCUGUAUUUUAGGUAUUCCAAGUCUAAAUAUUCCAUGGUUAAAAAAGUUUGGAAAUUAUGGAAUUUUAAGUUCUUCUCUUGGAGAUUCAUGAUUCACAAGACUAUACAAGACGCUGAAUCCUAUGAUUACAAACAAAAAAACAAAACCAAACCUGUUUAGUAGGUAAACAGGGUUAUGUAGGCAGAAGACAUUUUCUUUUUUUAAAUUACUUUUUUCAAAUUCAUGAGCAUUUGAAGUGGCAGCCAGCUGAGUCACAAAAUUGCUUUUAAAAAAUUAUGAUUAUUUUGUAAUUAUAAAACUGCAUAUAUAAUACAUAUAAGUGGUUUCAAAAAUAUUAGAGAAACAAUACGUUAAGAAAUAGAUUAUUACCAGUCCCUAUGAAGUUCCCCUGUGUGUCCCUCCUCAUUCAAAUUUCUCUCCUCUCUCUAAAGGUAACUCCAACUUGAAUUUUACCACUUUUCUAUGUAUCCCCAAACAAUAUUGUUUAACUUCACCUUUUUCAAAUAUUAUACCAUUUGAAAUCAUUGUUUGCAACCUUCUGUGAAUUGCAUUUUUUCAUUAAAGAUAUUGAUAAAAUCAAUCUAUGUUGACAUGUUCUAUAAUUAUUUCAUCUUUAUGGCUGUUUAAUAUUCCAUUGUAUAAAUACAUUACAAGUUAGUUGUCUAUUUACCUAUCGAACAUUUGGGGUACUUUCAU
This 5843-nucleotide long non-coding RNA is filed under the name Homo sapiens (human). RNAcentral describes it as "non-protein coding lnc-ST7L-2:6". The record is from RNAcentral. Lineage: Eukaryota; Metazoa; Chordata; Mammalia; Primates; Hominidae.